This is a non-coding RNA of Equus caballus (horse), 941 nucleotides long. NCBI's taxonomy places the organism in Eukaryota, Metazoa, Chordata, Mammalia, Perissodactyla, Equidae. The record is from the annotation of a RefSeq genome assembly.
UGUCCAACCACAUCCUGUGAAAUGUUUUAGUCUCAGGCACACAGCAACCGUGAAGACCAUGGGAAACGACCACAUCACAAGGAGGUUGCUCAUGGGGUAUGAGGAAGCCAUAGAGAAAAGGCCACCUGCCAUUACUUUCCCUGAGCCAGCCAUGUGCCACAGACUUCUCUGCUGUGUGGCCCUUUUUUUCUGGGGAGCAGGCUCCAUGGACACUAAGGUCACCCAGAGGCCUGGACAUCUAGUCAAAGGAAAGGAACAGAAAGCAAAGAUGGAUUGUUUCCCCAUAAAAACACAUAUUCAUGUUUAUUGGUAUCGCCGGAAGCUGGAAGGAGAGUUUGAGUUUUUGGUUUACGUAAGGAAUGGAGAGAUUACGGAUAAAAUAGAAGGGUUUGAUCAGCAGUUCUCAGUUGAACGGUCCCAAGAUGAACGCUACAGCCUGGAAAUCAAGUCCACUGAGCCAGGAGACUCAGCACUGUAUUUCUGUGCCAGCAGUGAAUCCACAGUGCUGAAUGUGAGCUUUUCUUAGCACACAAACUCAUCGUGGACCCAGCUCAGGAAAUAGUGGUGUGUUAGGUGAACAGGAACUAACAGAAACCAACUUGAAGAUCAUAACUCAGAAGGAAAAAUGUGUAAAUGGCAGUUCUAGCUGAGCAGAACAUACUGUUUAAAAUAGCUUAUGGGGACAAGAAACCCAAGGAAGGGGAAGGAAGGUGUGAAGGGAGCUCAGAUUCUUAGGUUUGCAGGGUAUCUGGCAAAGGAAAGACCCAGGAUGCAUUUUUCCCCCUGAGCUUGAUAGAUUUCUAACAAUCUUUAUUUAAAAAGUGUAAUUCUGUACUUCCCACCUGGCAAACCUGUGCCUUCAGGAAUAAGGAUAACAGGCGGGUCAGCUGUCUUUCCUGAGGACCCUGAUCCUCUGGCCCAGCACAUUCCGUUGAUCCAGA